Molecule: long non-coding RNA, 7509 nt
Filed under: Podarcis lilfordi (Lilford's wall lizard)
Lineage: Eukaryota; Metazoa; Chordata; Lepidosauria; Squamata; Lacertidae
Source: RNAcentral
GCUGAAUCUGUGAGCUUGCAGAUCUUGUCAUUAUACCAGCCGAGGGACAAAGGCGUUUUGCCCUGGCAUCACCCCAGCAAUCGCAGAGUGAGUGUUCGGUUCACAAAGAGGCCUCUGUGUCACCCAGUAAAUGUCUUCAGGCUGCAAUCCUGCCCAAAUCUACUCGGCAGCGUCCUAAUGAAUUCAAGGGGGCUUACUCCUAGGUAAGUGGCGAUCUCAACAGCUUUCGUUGGUGCAUCAACUACAGUACGUCCUUUCCUGGAUGAGGAUAGCUUGGCUACUGUGAGUUAUCUAUGAGUAACCUUAAUUUUAGACCACUGUAUUGUGUCCUAAGUGAGGCAUCCCUUACAGCUGGUCCAGACACUACAGAAGAACACUGGGUUAUAAGCAGGGCAUACCCUCAAACAUUUCUCCAGUGAAAAUAGGGAUGUCCUAUUCCAUCAUCAUCAUCACUUCAUGAUUUAUACCGCACCCAUCUGACAUGGUUGCCCCAGCCACUCUGGGCAGCUUCCAACACAUAUAAAAACAUAAUAAAACAUUAAACAUUUUUUUAAAAAAACCUUCCCUAUACAGGGCUGUUUCCAGAUGUAUUCUGAAGGUUGUGUAGUUACUUAUCUCCUUGGUUUGGGGGUCAUAUAACUCCAUACCCUCCAACAUUUCUCUGAUGAAAAUAGGGACAUUCUAAGGAAAAGUGGGACAUUCUAUAAUAAUAAUAAUAAUAAUAAUAAUAAUAAUAAUAAUAAUAAUAAAAAAUAAUUUUUUAUUUAUACCCCGCCCUUCCCGGUUCAAAAACCAGGCUCAGGGCAGCUAACAACAAAUUUAAAACACUUUAAAACACUUAAUUAUAAAAGCAGCAUAAAAUACAGUAGAAAAACAUGAAUAACAAUAAAAUUCGAAAAUCAAAAAUCAAUUAGAUAAACCCUAGGGCUAGCUGGCUGAACUGGUCCUACUUGGGCCAGCGAGGAGGUCAGGGGAGAAUUAGCUGUGGGGUCUCAGAGUGGGUAAUCUCCAUAAAAGGGGAGGGAGAGGGAAGGGAGGGGAAAUAAAAGAUCUAGGAUCGAUUCAGAAACUGGAAUGGCUUCUGUAAAUCUGGGACUGUCCCUAGAAAGUAGAGUCACUUGGAGGGUCUGGCAGUACCCCAUAACAGGAAAAAGGCUUCUGGUUAGUUUUGGUGUGUCCAGCUGAUAUUAAUCAUACCCUCCAGGUGUCCAAUUUUCCAGGGGCAGUCCUGUAAUUAUGAAAGCUAUCCCAGCUUCUGAUUUGAUCCCGGAAUGCCCCUAUUUUCCUUGCAGUUACAGCAACACCAGCGAGAGAGAAUCCCAUUGCCUCUCCUUGGCCUCUCCAUGGCUGCGGCUUGAAACCUCUUCCUUUGGCCAGCUCAAAGUGGUUGCUGGACAGUGGAUGAGGAGGAGAAGAGGCUGUAGCAGGCAAACACGUACAUAAAUAUAUAAACCACAUGUCUGAAGCAGCACAGGAAAACAGCCCGGAAACCAUUUUGACUCCCAAACUGACCAAAUGAUUUCUCUGCUAGGUCAAGGAAAAUGGAAAAGCCUCCCCAUUGUCUUUUCCUUCACAAAUCCUGUCUUAAGGGUAUGUCUGUGUAGGAAUAGGGUGAGCCUGUGACCUGGCUCAGGAACUAAGUAUUUGUCAUUACCAAAGACUGGCCAGGCUCCCCAGGGUAUCCAAUCAAGUAAGCAUUAACAGGUAACCUGCCAGACAGGAGAUAAACAACGCACUCAGAUUGCUGUUGUAGACCGCCCCUUCUGUGAUGUAGGUAUGAUGUAUCUGGGGGUGGUCUUGGACUCCAGUGCGGGCAAUUUAAACUGUCUAUAUAAGGGCGGACACACCUUUCUUCGGGGUCCUCCUCCUUCUUCUGCGUGUGAAGGGGGCACCCUGUUGCAACAGUUCAAUAAAGAUCAGGCUUACUAGCUGCUUUGCUUCUCAAUAUUCUAUCCUCUGUUAUUUUCUCCGACCAAUGGAGAACCUGCAAAGGACUCUCCAAGGGCUCUUGUGUCCCCCAUAAGGGAAUAAGGGCAGAUUUUCGUUUAUUACACCAGUAAAAAUAUUGGGAGGGGGCAACCCUAGAAUCGCAGAAUUUUGAGCAGGUAUUCCAUUAAGAGCUGGUUUUUUCCCAAAGAGAAGGGGAGCAAGACAAGAAAGGAGCUAGAUGCUGAUUACCGGUUCUUCCCGCUGCUUCCUGACCUAGUUCUCCUCCGACAUGCAGCCGCAGAAUCUAGGUUAAGUACACAUCCUUGGGGAACGCCUGACCUCAAGCAGCAAAGGAAGCAAAGGACCUUGAGCACUUGGGAGCUGAGCAAUUUGGUUUUCCCCCACUGGAAAAAAACAAAACAAAAAGGAAAUUGAUUCUUUGUUUAGUAAAAAUCUCAGUUGCGCCUGCAAAUAAAACGGCGGGGACAAACAUGGCUGUUGUUGACACAGUGGCUUGUAAUCUAAAUUCAUCUACGCCAACCUUAUUUGGAGGCUUCCCAGCAGAUGGUAUCUUUUCGGUGUGUAUGCUUACAGCCCUGAAAUAUUUUAUCGUGUCAGCCACAGGGCCUGUAAAAACACUGGCACUCCGAACUGCUGCUUAAUUAGGAUUCCUUUUUUUUUAAGCCCAACACAUAAGGUUGCCAACUGAUAGCAAAAAUCUCAACCUGCACUGCUCUUGUGCUUUUAAGCAGCCGCUUGAAGUGUAUGGGUGUAGGAGCAGAUGCUGAGAUUUUUUCUUCUUCAAGAAAUUGGAGCUGUCCUCUCAUCCACCGAUCCCUUAGUCAACACUGGAACAACAAGGCUCAGGAGAAGGGGUCUGUGUUAAGUUGUGGGUGAACAUAUCAGACGACACAGCGAUUCUUCAGACAGCUCUUGUUUAUUCACAGGCCAGAACAGAACUGAACUGAAGGGUUCAGCCAACCUGCUUAUACAGAGCUCCACUACAAAGCAACAGUAACAACUUUCUGUAACUAUCCAAUCACUGAACGUCACUUUCAAUUCCUUAUUUGCAUAUGCGGACCUGAGUGAAAACUAUCUACAGUAUCCCCUGCUGGCCCAGGGUGAGAACUUCAGUACAUAACAGUCUGAUUCCCCCUUCCUGAUUAAAAUUGCCCCCAAACUUGCCCCUGAAGACCUUUGAGAAGUAAACGUUUUAGCUCUUCAAAUGAAAUGAAAUUGGGAUUAGCAGCUGCUUUUGCUCUCCAGUUUUGUUUGGUUUUAUUCUGCUGUUGAUGCACUGUUAUGUUUUUAUUUGUCAUUAUAUUGUUUUUCUUUUAUUGUUUGAUUCAACUGUUAGGUAGGCAGGUGGGUGGGAAGAUAGACAGGACAGAGGAGACUUUGAGGAGAUAUCCCAGCCAAUUUCAGAAAAUUGUAAAAUGCUGCACUUGGAGGGGACCCAGCGAGGGCAUCCAAACCUACAAAUCUCUUCUCCCAAUCCUAUAAUAACAAGCUUACCCUCCGCCAAAGACCUUAACCUGUAGUUUGUAUAUAGGUAGACCAAUAAAAUGUUAGCCAUGAGCAGAGGUCAGAAAACUAGGGCUGUCCUUUGUAUAUACAGAGCACUGUGAAAUAAAAAAAUUAAGGUCUAAUAUAAAUAAUAAAUGUUCAUAAAUGUACUAAGCAAACACGUACAUAAAUAUAUAAACCACAUGUCUGAAACCCCACAGAAAAAGUCCUGAAAUCAUUUUGUCCCUCCCAAAUUGACCUCAAAUAUUUCUCUGCAAAGUCGAAGGAAAUGGAAAAGCCUCCCCAUUGUCUUUUCAUUCACAAAUCCUGUCUUAGGGGUAUGUCUGUGUAUGAAUAGGGUGAGCCUGUGACCUGGCUCAGGAACUAAGUAUUUGCCAUUACAAAAGACUGGCCAGGCUCCCCAGGGUAUCCAAUCAAGUAAGCAUUAACAGGUAACCUGGAGGUAAACAAUGCACUCAGAUUUCUGUUGUAGACCGCCCUUUCUGUGAUGUAGGUAUGAUGUAUCUGGGGGUGGUCUUGGACUCCAGGGCGGGCAAUUUAAAAUGUCUAUAUAAGGGCGGGCACACCUUUGUUUGGGGUCCUCUUCCUUUUCUGCAUGUGAGGGGAGCACUCUGUUGCAACAGUUCAAUAAAGAUCAGGCUUACGAGCUGCUUUGCUUCUCAAUAUUCUCUGGUUGGCCUCUGUUAUUUUCUCCGACCUAUGGAGAACCUGCAAAGGACUCUCUAAGGGCUCUUGUGUCCCCCCAUAAGGGAAUAAGGGCAGAUUUUCGUUUAUUACAACUGGAAUCUACGUGGCUGGACUAACAAACGCACACAGCUCUUGUCCGUAUGUGUUUGGACAUAUAUCAAAGAGGAAGCAAUUGCAGCCAAUUUUCAUCAUUAGUCCCCAAAAAAUAAAAAUAAAAAAAUCCUGGGGAGAAAAAUGACUCAACCUCAGUGGGGAAGAAAGCAAGCAAAGAAAGAAAUGUUCUUGUCUUGCCAAGUCUCACCCGAGAACUGAUCGCUUGUUUAUUCCUGAGAUUGGGGCGAGAGCUGGACACUCUCAGAGCUCCAGGCAGCAGCUGCUUUAGCCAUCUGAAUGUUUUCUGCAAACAGCUUUUGCAGUGAUUCCUGGAAGCCCUGAGCUGGGUGGGAGGGGAGUGUGUCUGCGGCUGUUGCCAUCUGGAAGGGAGAGGAUGAAAAGACAGUGUGGUGUAGUGGUUAGAGCGCUGCGCCAGGAGCUGGGAGAGCAGGGUUCAAAUCCCGCCACAGCUCACCGAGUCACUAGGGGCCGAUCGAUCUUGCACAGAAACUUGCCUCAUUAUUUGACAUCGUUCUGACACACACCGGGGAUUAAGCCCCAUUGUUUUGGGGAAAUAUAAGGCUUGCUUCAAGCAUGGCAACAUUUCUCCAUGCAGGAAGAUUUUGGAAAAUGCCGUGCAAGACCACACCUAGUGACCCACCUAACUGCAAAUCCCUCUGAUCCGUCGAUUGCCUUGGCAGCCAUGGCCAAUGAAAUGCACAUCUUGAAAAUAUAAAAAAAAUAAGAUCUCCACGGUGAGCUCUUUUGCAAUGAACUUUGCAUGGGGUUGUAGCUCAUUUGAGAGAGAGAAUGAAAUCUCCCAGACUCCAAAUUUAAGGAACUGUUUGUUUCAGAGCUCACUCUCACACAAACACACAAGUUAUAGUUAAAUACCAGCCCUUUAUCCCUUCUCCAUUUUUAAGCAGCUAAUUUUGUCUUUGUUAUCAAUGACAAGAUAAUUCCUUCAGCUGGGCUAUUCAGCGAAUCCCAGAUAACAGUCGCUUCUUUUUUCUAAUCAGGCUACCGUCAGACAUUUGGAGACAAUCUUUCCUUGGAGAGUCCCAGAUGGGAUGAAUGUUAUUUGUUCCAAGGUGGAGGAUGGUCCUUGUUAUUUAAAUAACGCAUUCAGCAUGCAUUGUUUUGCAAGAGACAACACUUUAAAAAAAAAAAAAUUUAAUAAAUGGGCCCAGAAAUCUUGGUUUUCCUGUGCAAAGCAGAGCAGUUAGAAAUAGAACAGCAGACAAAAGGAUAUCUUUCCUUCCAGCAGAGGUUUAGCCGGGAAAUGAGCAAAGAUAACGUAUUAAAUAUAGCUGUGUUGUUCAGCAGAAAUAAGAAAUAUUGUGCCUAGGGGGAGAAAUAAUAUAUCAUUUGUCACUCGCAGGGGAUCCGCUGGGGGAAUUCAUGGGAAAGGUCUAGGAGAGAGGAGAAUUAUAAACAGGCCUUUUCAGACCAGCUGGACAAGGCAGGAAAUGGGGAAAAUGAUACAUAGAUCUUGGAAACAUGGAAGGAUCAGAUGUAAAAGAAAGGGGGUUGCAAAUGCUUAGUUAUUUGUGAAUUCUGAUAACCGGUGUGAUUCGGGCAGAGCUAUGGGCAAAAACACUUAUAUCUCUCUGAAUUUUGCAGCCCAAGGCUCUAUGGUGAUAGGUGACAGUAUGCAGUUGUUAGAGUGGGAGUCCAGGGUUCAAAUCCCCACUGGUGACCAUGAAGCUCAGUGGGCGUCCUUGGGCCUGGCACAGGUGGCGCUGUGGUCUAAACCACUGAGCUUCUUGGGCUGGCCAAUCAGAAGGUCGGCGGUUCAAAUCCCUGCGACGGGGUGAGCUCCCGUUGCUCUGUCCCAGCUCCUGCCAACCUAGCAGUUCAAAAGCACUCCAGCACAAGUAGAUAAAUAGGUACCACUCUGGCGGGAAGGUAAAUGGUGUUUCCGUGCGCUCUGGUUUACACCACGGUGUUCCAAUGCGCCAGAAGCGGUUUAGUCCUGCUGGCCACAUGACCCAGAAAGCUGUCUGUGGACAAACGCCGGCUCCCUCGGCCUGAAAGCGAGAUUUGUGCCACAACCCCAAAGUCGCCUUUGACUGGACUUAACAGUCCCGGGGUCCUUUUCCUUUACCUACCUUGGGCCAAUCCCUGCCUCCCAGCCUAACCUACCUCACAGGGUUGUUGUGGGGACUGAAUGAGGUAGAGGGAUGAACAAUGCAUGCCACCUUGAGCUCCUUGGAAGGAAACUAGCUUUGCGCUGGCGACCUCGUGUUUCUGCCUCAUGCAAAAUCCUUUUCUUUGCCCUCUAAUCCUUCCUGGAGUAUGUUGGUUGUGCAUUUGACUACAGUGGUACCUCAGUUUAAGAAUAGCCCUGUUUACAAACGACAGUCAUUCCUCGGGUUACAGAUGCUUCGGGUUGUGCGUUUUUGGGUUGCGCACCGCGCCGAACCCGGAAGUACCGGAACAAGUUACUUUCGGGUUUCGGCGCAUGCACAGAAGGGCUAAAUUGCACUUUGCGCAUGUGCAGGAGUGCCAAAUCACAACCUGUGUGUGUGCAGAUGCAGCGCUGCGGGUUGCGAACGUGCCUCCUGCCCGGAUCACGUUCGCAACCCAAGUGUCCACUGUACUCGGUUUACAAACUCCGCAAAACCGGAAGUAGCGUCCCGGUUUGCAAACUUUACCUCGGUCUAAGAACAGAAGCUGAAGGGUGGAAGGGCACCGGCAGUGGGAGGCCUCAUUAGGGAAAGCACGCCUCGGUUUAAGAACGGACUUCCGGAACAGAUUAAGUUCGUAAACCGAGGUACCACUGUACAUCUUGCUUGCUGCUACGAAGUGUGAUUGUGGGCACCCAUGCGCUUCCUAUCCUUUUGUACACUGCGCUGAGAUUUUGGGUGCCCAGGGGCCUAUAAACAUUGCAUUAUUAUUAUUAUUAUUAUAAUUUUAAAACAAAGCCUAAUCAUAAUGAAUAAUCAAUUGUGCAGGAGGCGCCUCAACCAAGUGCAGAAGCUGAGCUUAAUCAGAUGCCAGUUACUCUGCCGGCACAAGGAGGCAGUAAAUGCCCAGGAACAAGGCAGAGCUGCGGGAGAGGACAACACACACAACUUUCCCCCACUGCCGAGAAUGUCCCCGGCCAAAAAAGAAGAAACUGUCUGCCCUGUCUGAGAAGCCUCUUUCGGGUCCAGGCGGGAGGUGAAGGGAAGGCCAGCCAGCUGCCUUUUCUGGCUCCGUGCUCUUUGGCCAAGGAGAAAAAUGUGCCAAAAUGUGAGCAAUUCUUGGAGAACUCUUAGAAGUCCGGAG